GGCAUCCGGAAAAAACCCCAUCUCCUUCUCUUUCUCAAUCUGUGUACUAUCUCUUUCGCAUUGUAAUCCAUGUUUUGAAGUUCUCAAUAAAAACUCUAUUAUUAGUGAGGCUUAACAACCAUGGGCGAGGCCACGAGGAUUCAUAUAUAUGAUAAUGAACCUGAAUGUUUGCAUGCGUUUUUACUUGCUUCUGGUUGUAUAUCGUAGCAUUUCUCUUAUUUUUCUUAUUUAUGUUACUCCUUUUCAUCCUUAUAUCUGAUUAGUUGCAAUUUACUGAGAAAUUCCUUGAUUCGUUUGGCUAUAGAAGUUGAGACGUUAGUAAGAUACUAUUGUGUUCUACUCCUGUAAUCUCUUUAGUUUUGAUGAUCAUUCUCAAUUUUGCAUUUAGCAUAAUGAUGGCAGGGUGAUAAAGAAAAAAGCAAGGUGAUACUGUAGUAUUAGAAGUUUUAAACUGAAAAAUAUUAUUAAGAGUAGUGCAUUAAGUGAUCCAACUUUAGUUUGCUUCUUUUCUACAGAUUAAUAAUGCCAGAGUUGAAAGGAAGCAAUUUUUUUAACACUUUUCUGCUAGACUUUUUCCAAACAUUGUCACAAAAAGAAGGGUUUCAAUAGGUUGAAGGUUGAAGGUUGACGGGAUGAAAGAUGAUCGCCGGUGCCCAGUGGUUUUACAAACUGAAUCCAUCAUCUUUAAGAUUGUCUGCUAAUCUCCCUGCACAUAACAAUGCCCAUGAAGUCAAUCCUGCAAAUGCUGCUAAGGACAACCCAAAUGAUCAAAAUAAGAGUGAUGAAGAAUAGUGGAAAUGAUCUCACAAAUAAUUUAGAAGUAGUCUUCAAAUUAAGAAUAAACAUAUGUUUAAUAAGAGCCUUUUUUAUUUCUUUUUUCAUUGAGUGAUGAGUUUUUUUAUAUGAUAAGUUUUUUUUUAUUUGAAUGAAUAAUAAUGAAAGUCAUUUUUAUCUCAUGACACGUUACCUAUUUGCCUGAA
Lotus japonicus is the source of this 980-nucleotide long non-coding RNA. RefSeq lists it as uncharacterized. The transcript is spliced from 3 exons. The record is from RefSeq and is a predicted model, not a curated record. Lineage: Eukaryota; Viridiplantae; Streptophyta; Magnoliopsida; Fabales; Fabaceae.